GACGAACGCUGGCGGCGUGCUUAACACAUGCAAGUCGAACGAUGAAGCCCAGCUUGCUGGGUGGAUUAGUGGCGAACGCGUGAGUAACACGUGAGUAACCCGUCCCUAACUCUGGGAUAAGACUGGGAAACUGGGUCUAAUACAGGAUAGGAGCGCCCCUCCUACGGUGGGGGGUGGGAAAAUUUUGCGGUUGUGGAUGGACUCGCGGCGUAUCAGCUUGUUGGUGGGGUAUUGGCUCACCAAGGCGAUGUCGGGUAGCCGGCCUGAGAGGGUGACCGGCCACACUGGGACUGAGACACGGCCCAGACUACUACGGGAGGCAGCAGUGGGGAAUAUUGCACAAUGGGCGAAAGCCUGAUGCAGCGACGCCGCGUGCGGGAUGACGGCCUUCGGGUUGUAAACCUCUUUCAGUAGGGAAGAAGCGAGAGUGACGGUACCUGGAAAAGAAGCACCGGCUAACUACGUG
Molecule: ribosomal RNA, 466 nt
Filed under: uncultured bacterium
Lineage: Bacteria
Description: partial 16S ribosomal RNA
Rfam family: Bacterial small subunit ribosomal RNA
Source: RNAcentral